Molecule: long non-coding RNA, 1230 nt
Filed under: Leguminivora glycinivorella
Lineage: Eukaryota; Metazoa; Arthropoda; Insecta; Lepidoptera; Tortricidae
Description: uncharacterized LOC125236851
Source: RNAcentral
CUAUUAUAUAACAAUUAUUAAUGAUACAUUUUUUUUUAUCGAGAACUUUUAUGUGGAUACAAUCAUAUUCUUUGAUGUGGAUCGAAACAACUGUCAAAAUGCGUUGCAUUGCAUUGUAGCUGGAAACAAAUUAUGAGACGCGACGCGUCCGCGGACGCAUGGCCACUGCUGCGAUGUAGAAUCUACAGUGGCGUCUACAUUGUAGAUAAGAUAAUGAAUAUACUCGGAAUUGUGCAAACUAUCGGACGUAACGUAAGCCAUGGACAUGGCCUUGAGCGUUUGGUUUCAGACAUAAAACCUGGCCGCCAGAUGUUUUAAGACUGCAAGUCGCGGUCGUCAGCCACGUCCGUAUGACGCGUCCCAUAAUUUGUUUCUAGCUUAAUGCAAAUGUCAAAGAAACUAGAAACUUAGAAAGUUUUAGCAACCGUUCGGUUGACUUUUAUUGGGCAUUUUUAGCGUGUGCGUGUUUCUUUUGAACUUCAGUUUGCCAAUGCGCUUGAAUCAGUGGCAAAGAGUAUUAUUAGUAUAUUUCAGUGGACUGGGCUGCGGUGGUAGAACGCUCGAGGCACGAUUGUCACAGGCUCGCGCAAUCACUACUUAACAUAUUAGUUGACAAAUUUAACACAUGUUUUCCUAUACUUACGUAAACAACCACAACAGCACAGGAGGGCUGAAGCCUCAGUGCAGCACCUGUUUUGACUCCCAGUGAGAAUGAGUGACAGUCUGCCAAAGACAGUAGUUACUUGCAGUUUGCACAAAUACCCUUCACAUGAUUGCAAUAAUGCAGAUGAAUCUAAGUGUAUUGGUAACUUCACCAUCCUGUAUAGCCGAAGAAGCACCUGUAUGUCCACCAAAAACCAGAGCACAUAAUAUAUAAAAGAACAAGUACAGAAGGCUCACAGUCAACAACCUGUCAACGGACUGCAUGUGACAUUGAGUUCUAUUGCGAAGCGAGAAGGUCAUCAAACUAUGGGCCGGGAACUCUUAGCCGCCGGAAUGUAUGAAAGAAAUGUGGAGUGAGCCACCCCCGACAAGAGUUAUUUUUUUAUAAUAAUCAGAUAGAACUGUCACAAAUAGAAGAGUUAAAAUUCACUGCAAUUGAUCAACCACAGAUUUUGUAUAAAAAAAAUGCCUAUGUGAUUAAUGUUGAGUGUAUUCUGAAUAUUUUAUGAAAUACCUAUAUUUUUGUUUUAUUUGUAUAAAUGAUUGCAUCUCUUCUAAAUAUACUGA